UCUAUAUUUGCUGAAGAUCUAAAAGAGGCCAUUUUAACCCUCUAGGGCUGACGCCAUCAUAUACAACGGCUGGGACCAAGUUUUACUAAAUUAUAAAUAACUGUUUAAUGAUAUGAGAUAGAAACUUACUUUUUUUGCUGAAAAGU
This is a long non-coding RNA of Thalassophryne amazonica, 146 nucleotides long. RefSeq lists it as uncharacterized. NCBI's taxonomy places the organism in Eukaryota, Metazoa, Chordata, Actinopteri, Batrachoidiformes, Batrachoididae. The transcript is spliced from 3 exons. The record is from RefSeq and is a predicted model, not a curated record.